CAGAGCCUGACGUCUAAAAACUCCGCAGUAAGUGCAAUUGUUUUUCGUUCCAAUACGAGCCACCACAUUGUCCAUGGUCCAUCCAUCGUACAGAUCAGCAUAGCUGACUAUUUUCAUAGGUAAACCGUAUUGCUGCUGAUUUCUUUUAACAGUAUCAAGUGAAUCGUCCCGAUAUCCACGAAUUCCUUCAUCCACACUAAUUAAAUACAACUCGAGACCAUAGUCGUAUCUCUCAUUUAACAAUUUCAUCACGUACGCUAAUACAGUGCUGUCUUUUCCUCCACUUGCACCUAUACCAACUCGCUCUCCACGGACAAAUAAUUUGUUUUCAAUGAUUACAUUGUGAAUCUCGGUUUCGAAAACAUAGUAGAAACAUUCUUUACAAAUUUUCUGCCCUGUUUUAGGCCUAACUAAUGCUGGUCGUCUCUCGUUACAAAGCU
Schizosaccharomyces pombe (fission yeast) is the source of this 440-nucleotide non-coding RNA. Lineage: Eukaryota; Fungi; Ascomycota; Schizosaccharomycetes; Schizosaccharomycetales; Schizosaccharomycetaceae. The record is from the annotation of a GenBank genome assembly.